GAUGAAGAACGCAGCGAAAUGCGAUACGUAAUGUGAAUUGCAGAGUUCAGUGAAUCAUCGAGUCUUUGAACGCACAUUGCGCCCCCUGGUAUUCCGGGGGGCAUGCCUGUCCGAGCGUCAUUGCUGCCCUCAAGCACGGCUUGUGUGUUGGGCCUCCGUCCUCCUCCCGGGGGACGGGCCCGAAAGGCAGCGGCGGCACCGCGUCCGGUCCUCGAGCGUAUGGGGCUUCGUCACCCGCUCUUGUAGGCCCGGUCGGCGCUUGCCGACACAUCAAUCUUUUUUCCAGGUUGACCUCGGAUCAGGUAGGGAUACCCGCUGAACUUAAGCAUAUCAAUAAGCGGAGGA
This 345-nucleotide unclassified non-coding RNA is filed under the name soil metagenome. Its description in RNAcentral is "partial contains 5.8S ribosomal RNA, internal transcribed spacer 2, and large subunit ribosomal RNA". The stretch from base 1 to 120 matches the Rfam family "5.8S ribosomal RNA", at positions 35 to 154 of the family's 154-position model. The record is from RNAcentral.